CAACUUUCAACAACGGAUCUCUUGGCUCUCGCAUCGAUGAAGAACGCAGCGAAAUGCGAUAAGUAAUGUGAAUUGCAGAAUUCAGUGAAUCAUCGAAUCUUUGAACGCACCUUGCGCUCCUUGGUAUUCCAUGGAGCAUGCCUGUUUGAGUGUCACGU
This 158-nucleotide ribosomal RNA is filed under the name Auricularia auricula-judae (jelly ear fungus). RNAcentral describes it as "5.8S ribosomal RNA". It matches the Rfam family "5.8S ribosomal RNA". From Rfam's summary of the family: 5.8S ribosomal RNA (5.8S rRNA) is a component of the large subunit of the eukaryotic ribosome. It is transcribed by RNA polymerase I as part of the 45S precursor that also contains 18S and 28S rRNA. Functionally, it is thought that 5.8S rRNA may be involved in ribosome translocation. RNAcentral also lists the same sequence under 3 other names. Lineage: Eukaryota; Fungi; Basidiomycota; Agaricomycetes; Auriculariales; Auriculariaceae. The record is from RNAcentral.